RNAcentral lists this ribosomal RNA (523 nucleotides) under Chaetomium sp. RNAcentral's name for it is "SSU rRNA". It matches the Rfam family "Eukaryotic small subunit ribosomal RNA", at positions 60 to 584 of the family's 1831-position model. The record is from RNAcentral. Lineage: Eukaryota; Fungi; Ascomycota; Sordariomycetes; Sordariales; Chaetomiaceae.
CUAGUAUAGCAUUAUACCGCGAAACUGCGAAUGGCUCAUUAAAUCAGUUAUCGUUUAUUUGAUAGUACCUUACUACAUGGAUAACCGUGGUAAUUCUAGAGCUAAUACAUGCUAAAAAUCCCGACUUCGGAAGGGAUGUAUUUAUUAGAUUAAAAACCAAUGCCCUUCGGGGCUCUCUGGUGAUUCAUAAUAACUUCUCGAAUCGCACGGCCUUGCGCCGGCGAUGGUUCAUUCAAAUUUCUGCCCUAUCAACUUUCGACGGCUGGGUCUUGGCCAGCCGUGGUGACAACGGGUAACGGAGGGUUAGGGCUCGACCCCGGAGAAGGAGCCUGAGAAACGGCUACUACAUCCAAGGAAGGCAGCAGGCGCGCAAAUUACCCAAUCCCGACACGGGGAGGUAGUGACAAUAAAUACUGAUACAGGGCUCUUUCGGGUCUUGUAAUUGGAAUGAGUACAAUUUAAAUCCCUUAACGAGGAACAAUUGGAGGGCAAGUCUGUCCCCCAGCAGCCCCUUGCCUUAAUU